Molecule: ribosomal RNA, 873 nt
Filed under: uncultured methanogenic archaeon
Lineage: Archaea; Methanobacteriati; Methanobacteriota
Description: bacterial SSU rRNA
Rfam family: Archaeal small subunit ribosomal RNA
Source: RNAcentral
UUUCCGGUUGAUCCUGCCGGAGGUUACUGCUAUCGGGGUCCGAUUAAGCCAUGCGAGUUGAGAGGGGUAAGCCCUCGGCAUACUGCUCAGUAACACGCGGACAACCUGCCCUUGGGUCUGGGAUAACCCCGGGAAACUGGGACUAAUACCGGAUAGAUCAGAGAUACUGGAAUGUUCUCUGGUCCAAAACUCCGGUGCCCAAGGAUGGGUCUGCGGCCUAUCAGGUAGUAGUGGGUGUAACGUACCUACUAGCCAGCGACGGGUAAGGGUUGUGAGAGCAAGAUCCCUGAGAUGGAUUCUGAGACAUGAAUCCAGGCCCUACGGGGUGCAGCAGGCGCGAAAACUUUACACUGCGGGAAACCGCGAUAAGGGGACCCCGAGUGCCAGCACCUAGUGCUGGCAGUCAUACUGUCAACAUACCAGUGGUUAGCAAGGUCCGGGCAAGAUCGGUGCCAUCCGCCGCGGUAACACCUGCGGCCCGAGUGGUAACCGUCAUUAUUGGGUUUAAAGGGUCCGUAUCCGGCUUAUUAAGUCUUUUGGGAAAUAUGGCGACUCAAUCSUCAGGCGUCCAAGAGAUACUGGUAGGCUUGGGACCGGGAGAGGUGGGAGGUACUCCAGGGGUAGGGGUGAAAUCUAGUAAUCCUUGCGGGACCUCCGAUCGCGAAGGCAUUCCACCAGAACGGGUCCGACGGUGAGGGACGAAAGCUGGGGGCACGAACCGGAUUAGAUACCCGAGUAGUCCCAGCUGUAAACGAUGCUCGCUAGGUGUCAGGUGCGGUGCGACCGCAUCUGGUGCCGCAGUGAAAACUUGAAGCGAGUCACCUGGGAAGUACGGUCGCAAGGCUGAAACUUAAAGGAAUUGGCGGGAAGGGC